Molecule: long non-coding RNA, 1373 nt
Filed under: Gossypium barbadense (sea-island cotton)
Lineage: Eukaryota; Viridiplantae; Streptophyta; Magnoliopsida; Malvales; Malvaceae
Description: long non-coding RNA (GBAR_LNC001051)
Source: RNAcentral
ACAAUUCCUCUUAUUACUCUUCACUAACAUAUCAAAACAUACCAUACUUAAGGUUUUGGUAACAUUUACAAAACAUACCAAAAUAUCACUUAACAACUUAGAUACUUUCAAAAUAACCAAAAGACAUCCUAGGUACAAUGCCAUUUUCUAAAAAGAUAGAAACUUCACCAAUUUGAGUUUGGGGAUCGGCUUGUAUGCUGAGUCUUUAUACUUUCGUACCUAGCCUGUGCACGGAAACAAACCGUACGCUGAGAAUACUCUCAGUGGUAUUUCUAUAAACAAUAGCUUAAUCAACUUUAAAACAUGGUAAUUCAAACACAUUAUUGCUAUUAUUCAAUAUCAAUCAGUACUUCAAUAAUCUUUACUUUAUUUACCCUUAUUAACAUAACUCGGACACUAACGGAUACACGGAUCCAACCCACACUCCGGGAUAAGCACAUAGUGCUUCAUCGGAAUAAAUCCGGAACUUUAACAUUAUAGUACACAAAGUACUUCAUCGGAACAAAUCCGGAACUUUAACAGUAGUCGACACAUAGUGUCUCAUCGACUCAAUGUCGGAAUAUCCCAAUGCUUCCAAUUCCUAUAACAUGUCAACUAUAUCUGACUAGCCCGACACUGUUAAUAGGGUAUUCAAAAUCACAUUCAUUUCAAUAUGGUAAAAAUACUUACCUCAUUCACAUUUUCAUACAAUAUAAAUAUCAAAUAUAGCAAUAACGAUUAAGCUCGGUUUAUAGAAAUACAAACCACUAUUUAUCGAAUUUAAUCGAUAUCUUCGUUCACUUUCUCUUUUCCCUUCUUUGAUGACGUAUCCGGUGCUACGUUUGCUACUAAAAAUCAUACAAUUAAAAAUCAUCAAUAUACUAAUUCAUAAAACACAUUUUUCACUUUCUAUCAAACUUUUACAAAAAUUCCAAUUUCAUCCUUUUUCCAUUACUAAUCUUUUUUUCUUUAACUUAAGCUUCAUAUUCUCUUUUAAUCAACUCAUUAACAAUUUCUAACUCAUAAAAUUCAUUAUAAAACAUAAAUUUUGAGCUCUAUUCAACUUAAUCCCUAUUUAAACCUAACUUAGAAUUCUUUUAAUAAAUCGCUCAAUUUUCACUUCUAACUUCAAUUUCUAUCAAUUUAACCCAUAAAACCUCAAUUUAUUCAACUAAAUCAAUAUUUAAAAAUUUUCUAUUUUUCUUCAUUUUAACCUCAUACAUGUAGAACUUUGAAUUAGGCAUCCAUAAACAUAAAAAUUAUAAGAAAAUAAGCUAAAACAACUUACCAAUCAAGCUUUAAGGCCUUAAUCCUCGAAUUUCCCUUUUCUAUUUCUUUCUUUCUUUCUUUCUUUCUCAUGUUUGCUCUCUGUAACUCUUUCUAUGUUUCUUUAC